UUUGACCCCUAGCCUGGGAACCUCCAUAUGCCGCAGGUGUGGCCCUAAAAAGACGAACAAAACCAAACCAAACCCCACAAACCCUGACCUUUUUAUUCAUGAGACUGGCUCCAAAUUAAUGCAGACACAUACCCAGUCUCCACUAAAAUGAUAACUACCAAUUCUUAGGUAUUUGCUAUGCACCAAGCAAGGUCCUAAGCAUAUUCCAUGUAUUAUAUAAUUUUAUCUCGCAGUGAGGUCUGUUAAUAACCACAUUACAUAAAUUAGGAAAUUUGAUAUUAGAAAGAUUUAAGUCACUAAGCCACAUGGUGAGUAAGUACAGGAGCAAGCAUCUGAAGGCUGCCUAGUAUAACCUCAAAGCCCAUGCUCUGAACUACUGACUUAUUCUGUCCUUAAUGGAACUAAAAAAUGAGUUAUUUCGAUUUGCUAACAUACCUCUCUGGACAGUCUUUUUGGCAAUACUCAUAUAUAGCAUUAUUUUCAACCAAGUAAAAGUGAUAGAAUUUUCUUCUUACCAUCUCCUUUCCCCAUUCUCUUAUUCUUUGAUAUUUAUACAUAUAAAAUGUAAAAAAAGACCCAAAUUGAUUAAUUCUACUAAUAUCAAAAUUCAACCAUUUAUAGGCAGUUCCCAUGUGGUACAGUGGGUUAGAGAUCUGCCAUUGCCGCAGGUUUGAUCCCUGGCCCAGGAAUUUCCACAUGCUGUGGUUGUGGCCAAAAAAAAGCAUCCAUUUGUAUAGCUUUUUUAAGUCUUGUUUUGCUAAAACCAAAACCAAAACCAACGAACCAAACAGAACCACAGGUCUUCACCUAGUUUCUUGUCACUAUCAAGUUUCAAAUGAUGAAGGAAGCAAGAAUCACUGUUCUAGAUCAGAACCUGACCCACAAGAAAGAGGACUGGGUGGUCCAACGUCAGAUGGUCAGGUAUGAUCUCAGGGCCCAGCAACACAGCAUCAAGUGACGGGCACAGAAUGAGGAGCUAAGAUUUGCAAACGCCCAUGCGGGUACGAGGAUAGAGGUAGCUUAUGGAGCUCUCUCUGAGGUCUUGGUUUACAUAAGAUCGGGAAUGAGAUGGGAAAGGCGGAGUGCGUGAAUCAGGAGCUCCCUGAACCCGAGGGAACAGUGGAGAAUAGGCUGCUAUCCAGAAUAGGCAAAGAUUUAGAGACUGCUCCCUAAUCUCGGUUCAAGUGCCUUACACGUGCCAGCAAAGACAUUUAAAGGGCAUUAUUCCCACCCCUGCACUGGGGUUGGAGGAACGGCUACGGACUUUUGGGAAGUCCAGUCUCACCUUCCCAGAACUGCGGAUGUUGGGGACAGCAGCGGGACUGUCCCCCCCUUUAGGAGGCUUGAUCUAGCUCUUGGAUGCUUCUCCCACAGACUUCAGGUCAUCUGGGCCGGGAAGGCAGCACCUUCAGAAGAAAACAGGGUUUUAAUAGUUUUUGUAACUGUGAGAAAAGAAGCCUAUUUCCCUCCACCUGCACCUUUUCCUCUCUAGCACGAGGAAGAAAAAAACUGCAUUUGUCAGAAUUUCCUUCUGGCAGAGAAAUGUGAUCUUCAGAGAAAAAUCUUUAAUGAGUCCCUUUGGAGAAGGCGAGCUCUCAAAAGACCUGCCAGUAGGGUCUUAUGCCUCCUGACCUAAAGGGCUGCUGUGAGCCUGAGACCUUAAGGCUUGUAAAGCACUACAAUGCUUCCCUGGCCUGGGGGGAGUAUCGUAUCACGAUGUUCUAUUAUUAUCUUUUCUGGGAUCUUGUUCUGGAUGAAUCUCACAACAAACACUCUUUUUUUUUUCUGCCACAGCUGCCUUCGCGCCUUGUUAAAACCGAGGACCACAUUUGCUGAUGUCCAGACUUUUCAGACCUUUUCUCUCUUUCUUUCCCUAGAAGACCCACCCGGCUUCUUGCAGGUAAAACCAUCACUUUCAAGAACAGAGGAAUGCCAGCGGGAUGGGCGUGUGGCCGUUAUGAUAUCACCCAUCUUCAGAGACAAGACCUUGCCGAGCCGUCGCCCCCUGCUGGCCAUUAUGACAACCCGCGAUGACACCCCAGACCAGUCACAGGUGAAAGCCUGAAACCCACCAAGGAAAGGAGAUGUGUGAAAAUCAAUAUAGCAUGUGUGAAGGUACAAGUUAUGUGGAUACCAAAUAUAUGAGCACCACAACUUCUGUGAACAUAAAGGAAACUCCCCGAGACCUUACCCUGGGAUAACGCAAAUUCAGCUUGGCCUGGAUCUGCCCAGCUUUCAUCUCACUAACGUUGUCACAA
Sus scrofa (pig) is the source of this 2258-nucleotide non-coding RNA. Lineage: Eukaryota; Metazoa; Chordata; Mammalia; Artiodactyla; Suidae. The record is from RefSeq and is a predicted model, not a curated record.